CUUUAAUUGGUGUUGGAGCACACAAUCUUUUCGUGAUUGGGGAUAAUUAAAGU
Molecule: transfer RNA, 53 nt
Filed under: Pomphorhynchus laevis
Lineage: Eukaryota; Metazoa; Acanthocephala; Palaeacanthocephala; Echinorhynchida; Pomphorhynchidae
Description: tRNA-Glu
Source: RNAcentral